This 76-nucleotide transfer RNA is filed under the name Candidatus Peregrinibacteria bacterium CG_4_9_14_0_2_um_filter_53_11. RNAcentral describes it as "tRNA-Cys". It matches the Rfam family "tRNA". Rfam says of the family: Transfer RNA (tRNA) molecules are approximately 80 nucleotides in length. The record is from RNAcentral. Lineage: Bacteria; Candidatus Peregrinibacteriota.
GGCCGCGUAGCCAAGCGGUUAAGGCAGCGGUUUGCAAAACCGCCAUGCGGCGGUUCGAAUCCGCCCGCGGCCUCCA